This 166-nucleotide ribosomal RNA is filed under the name Pisolithus sp. ELPA3. RNAcentral's name for it is "5.8S ribosomal RNA". It matches the Rfam family "5.8S ribosomal RNA". From Rfam's summary of the family: 5.8S ribosomal RNA (5.8S rRNA) is a component of the large subunit of the eukaryotic ribosome. It is transcribed by RNA polymerase I as part of the 45S precursor that also contains 18S and 28S rRNA. Functionally, it is thought that 5.8S rRNA may be involved in ribosome translocation. The record is from RNAcentral. Lineage: Eukaryota; Fungi; Basidiomycota; Agaricomycetes; Boletales; Pisolithaceae.
UACAACUUUCAGCAACGGAUCUCUUGGCUCUCGCAUCGAUGAAGGGACGCAGCGAAUCGCGAUAGAGUAAUGUGAAUUGCAGAUUUCCGUGGAAUCAUCGAUUCUUUGAACGCACCUUGCGCUCCUUGGUAUUCCGAGGAGCAUGCCUGUUUGAGUGUCAUCGAAA